GGCACUGCCGAGGCCAGGGGCUGGGCUGAGCUGGGCUGAGCUGGGCUGAGCUGGGCGGCUCGCCUGCGUCU
Ochotona princeps (American pika) is the source of this 71-nucleotide microRNA precursor. The record is from Ensembl. Lineage: Eukaryota; Metazoa; Chordata; Mammalia; Lagomorpha; Ochotonidae.